UGAGGAACAUGACCUUCGGCGGGGGAUAGCCGGCCCAACGGCCGGGUAAUACCGCGUACGACCACUGU
This 68-nucleotide ribosomal RNA is filed under the name uncultured bacterium. RNAcentral describes it as "partial 16S ribosomal RNA". The record is from RNAcentral.